CCCACUAAAUAGGAAGAUGGAGUUCAACUGUGUAUGGAGAGAGAGAGAAAGAGACCAGCAUCAGUAGUAGAGAAACAACUUGCCUAAAAGUAUUCCUCAGAGAAUUCUCUAAUUAAUCUAAGGGAAAUUGUAACAUCUGAUCAUAUACACUCCUCAGAUAAUCAGAACAAAUGGUAGUAAACUCUUUUAAAAGCUAGCUUGAGGAUAUUCUUACCAAGCACAUUGAUGUACUCUGAGCAGUAAGUUGCCGAUGUUAUGUCUUUCAGCUACCACAUGUUUUCUUUAAUAAUCAGUAUUAAACUAGUCUAUUCUUGCUGAUCAUGGUUCUUUAUUGGUUUCUUGUAACCAUUUUGUGUGUUAGAUGAUUCAUGCUUGGUUUAUGAAGUGAAACGAAAAAAUUGCCAGUAGCAAUUCUCCUAUGAUUCAUGCUUGGUUUCUUAUCAAAUUUAGUAAGACUAAACUCUAGAAAUGGUAUCUUUUAACUGGUUAUCAUCUCUAAAUUUAAAAGCAUAAAUAGGAUUAUUUUGCUCGUGAAGGACAACUCUUACAAGAUUGAGAUGGGCAUCAACAUCAAAAACAUCCACACGAUAGAGUCAAUAACCCAAUAUCACUCGUUAAUGACCUCAGUUGCGUUGACAAUGACAUAAACAAAAAAAAUUAGACAUAUACAAAACAAAUAAAACGAUGCACAUUAGCUAAACAAAACAAAGACAUCAAACAUAAUAAAAUCAGAGCAAGGAUGGGGACAGAAUAAAAGAAAGAAACAUCACAAAUCAGAACAAGACAUAAACAAGAGGAACAUAUUUGGAAAACGUAAUGAUGAUUAUGACAGCAGAUUAAAAUAAAAACAAGAUUACCCGAUGAUCACCGAUUUGAAUCAUGAUUUAUUGCUCUCAUGUAAUUCUGUCAUUUUUUUUAACACAAUAACUAGAUUUUGACCCGCGCGCCCGCGCGGAUAUUAUUUUCCGAUAAUUAUGUUCGUUUAAUUUGUACUACUUUAGUUUAUUGUUGAGACUAUAUAUUUUGUUACUUUUUUGUGUUAUAUAUUUUUGUUCUUAGAUGUGUGUUGGAUCAGUCAUGUUAUUAUAUACUAUUUUUUUUUAAAUGUAAGUAUUUAUUAAUAUAUCCUCAAAUGACCAUUAUGUAAGUUGUUCUUCCAAAUCUAGUCCACAAAUGAAGAAAUGAUUGAAAAUAGUUUUAUUAAAAGGUAUAUUUACUCUUAUAUUCAUAAGGUUAUCUAAUCCUAAACUUUGGUUUUAAUAAGAUAGAUGGGAGGAGUUUUCAGGGUGAGGUUUAAUAUUUUAAAGAGUAUAACAUAAAUAUUGAAAGUUUUUAAAUAUUUAAAAGAAUUUUAGUUUUUAAAAUUAUUAUUUAUAAAUAUAAAACAAUGAGUACAAAAGUAUUUUAUGUUUUUAGUAAAACAUAUUUUGGUAGUUUUCUUCUUUAAAAUUCCUUUUUAUGUUAAAAACUAAAAAUAAUUGUUUAAAAGAUGUUACUAUUUAAAAAUUGUAUAUUGUAUCUAUGCAGAUAUUUUUGACCACAUAAAAAACUCAUAUAUUAAUUUGUACAGAAAGUAAGUAUAGUUUAUUUUUUAAAAUGAUAGUUAAUUUGAUAAUUAAUAACAUUGGGUUGACAAAAAAAUAAUAAUAAUAACAUUGGCAACCGCAAAUUACAAGUAAUUUCCAAAAGAUUAAAAUUGGGCUAUACUAUAUUAUUUCAUCAUUAAUUAUCCAAUAAAACUUAACAUUAUGGCCCAAAACAAUUGUAACAAAACCCCAUUUAUAAUGAUUUUUAUUCUGGGAAAAGCAAACAAAAAACGUAACUACUCUAGUGCUCUGUUUACUUUUCUCUUGGUCGCAGCGAAUCUCUGUCUUAUCUCUUCUUUGAUGUUCAUUACAAUAAAUCGCAAGUAUGAGAAGAUUGAAGAAUCAGAUCCACGCUGAGAGCAACGAUUUUAUGUAUGUCAACUCCAUUCACUCAGUCAAGGAAAUGUAUAAAAGAGAUCUCUUUCCCACUAGUAGAUCUGCCAUUAACCUCUCUCUUCCGAGACAUGCAAUCAAAAUCCUAAUCUUGUCUUAGAAGGGUAAAGUCGAACCAUUCACCUCUCAUCUUUCUCAUCCUAACAACAAAAAAAUUUCCUUUUCUUCACAAAACUGAGUUUCAUGAUUUUGUUACCUUUCAGAUAAACUUCAUUUUUUCGAGAAACCAAGAUCUCAAUAAGAAAAAAAAGUCAAUGAUCGAGUGAUUUUGCCUGGGUUAUCUUUAUGCUGUAAUGGAAAAUGCAAAGUUAAGUUUUAAAUAUUUAUUGGAAUAUGUUUCAGAGCUUAGUUAUGUUGUCUUUAUGCGAUUAUUUUAGUCAUAAAACACCAAAAUAAAAAGCAAAGCAAAAUAACAUUUUAUUAGGUUAAGCACUCAUCACUAAUCAGUCCUUUUCUUUCUCCUUCUUUACGAUCUUAGUGCAUAACUUCUUAGAAGUAGAUGUCAUGUCCAUUUGAUCACACUCAUCUUCCUUACGUUUGUUACUUGGGGUGGAAAAAUCUUCAGAUGAGUUCUCAUUGA
Long non-coding RNA from Brassica rapa (field mustard), 2559 nucleotides. RefSeq lists it as uncharacterized. The record is from RefSeq and is a predicted model, not a curated record. NCBI's taxonomy places the organism in Eukaryota, Viridiplantae, Streptophyta, Magnoliopsida, Brassicales, Brassicaceae.